Molecule: ribosomal RNA, 2798 nt
Filed under: Klebsiella pneumoniae
Lineage: Bacteria; Pseudomonadati; Pseudomonadota; Gammaproteobacteria; Enterobacterales; Enterobacteriaceae
Description: bacterial LSU rRNA
Rfam family: Bacterial large subunit ribosomal RNA
Source: RNAcentral
CCGGCGAUGUCCGAAUGGGGAAACCCAGUGCAAUUCGUUGCACUAUCGUUAACUGAAUACAUAGGUUAACGAGGCGAACCGGGGGAACUGAAACAUCUAAGUACCCCGAGGAAAAGAAAUCAACCGAGAUUCCCCCAGUAGCGGCGAGCGAACGGGGAGCAGCCCAGAGUCUGAAUCAGCUUGUGUGUUAGUGGAACGGUCUGGAAAGUCCGACGGUACAGGGUGAUAGUCCCGUACACCAAAAUGCACAGGUUGUGAACUCGAAGAGUAGGGCGGGACACGUGGUAUCCUGUCUGAAUAUGGGGGGACCAUCCUCCAAGGCUAAAUACUCCUGACUGACCGAUAGUGAACCAGUACCGUGAGGGAAAGGCGAAAAGAACCCCGGCGAGGGGAGUGAAAAAGAACCUGAAACCGUGUACGUACAAGCAGUGGGAGCACCUUCGGGUGUGACUGCGUACCUUUUGUAUAAUGGGUCAGCGACUUAUAUUCUGUAGCAAGGUUAACCGUAUAGGGGAGCCGCAGGGAAACCGAGUCUUAACUGGGCGUUAAGUUGCAGGGUAUAGACCCGAAACCCGGUGAUCUAGCCAUGGGCAGGUUGAAGGUUGGGUAACACUAACUGGAGGACCGAACCGACUAAUGUUGAAAAAUUAGCGGAUGACUUGUGGCUGGGGGUGAAAGGCCAAUCAAACCGGGAGAUAGCUGGUUCUCCCCGAAAGCUAUUUAGGUAGCGCCUCGUGAACUCAUCUUCGGGGGUAGAGCACUGUUUCGGCUAGGGGGUCAUCCCGACUUACCAACCCGAUGCAAACUACGAAUACCGAAGAAUGUUAUCACGGGAGACACACGGCGGGUGCUAACGUCCGUCGUGAAGAGGGAAACAACCCAGACCGCCAGCUAAGGUCCCAAAGUCAUGGUUAAGUGGGAAACGAUGUGGGAAGGCACAGACAGCCAGGAUGUUGGCUUAGAAGCAGCCAUCAUUUAAAGAAAGCGUAAUAGCUCACUGGUCGAGUCGGCCUGCGCGGAAGAUGUAACGGGGCUAAACCAUGCACCGAAGCUGCGGCAGCGACACUAUGUGUUGUUGGGUAGGGGAGCGUUCUGUAAGCCUGCGAAGGUGUGCUGUGAGGCAUGCUGGAGGUAUCAGAAGUGCGAAUGCUGACAUAAGUAACGAUAAAGCGGGUGAAAAGCCCGCUCGCCGGAAGACCAAGGGUUCCUGUCCAACGUUAAUCGGGGCAGGGUGAGUCGACCCCUAAGGCGAGGCCGAAAGGCGUAGUCGAUGGGAAACAGGUUAAUAUUCCUGUACUUGGUGUUACUGCGAAGGGGGGACGGAGAAGGCUAUGUUAGCCGGGCGACGGUUGUCCCGGUUUAAGCAUGUAGGCUGGUUAUCCAGGCAAAUCCGGAUAAUCAAGGCUGAGGUGUGAUGACGAGGCACUACGGUGCUGAAGUAACAAAUGCCCUGCUUCCAGGAAAAGCCUCUAAGCAUCAGGUAACAUCAAAUCGUACCCCAAACCGACACAGGUGGUCAGGUAGAGAAUACCAAGGCGCUUGAGAGAACUCGGGUGAAGGAACUAGGCAAAAUGGUGCCGUAACUUCGGGAGAAGGCACGCUGGUGUGUAGGUGAAGCCCCUGCGGGUGGAGCUGAGACCAGUCGAAGAUACCAGCUGGCUGCAACUGUUUAUUAAAAACACAGCACUGUGCAAACACGAAAGUGGACGUAUACGGUGUGACGCCUGCCCGGUGCCGGAAGGUUAAUUGAUGGGGUUAUCCGUAAGGAGAAGCUCUUGAUCGAAGCCCCGGUAAACGGCGGCCGUAACUAUAACGGUCCUAAGGUAGCGAAAUUCCUUGUCGGGUAAGUUCCGACCUGCACGAAUGGCGUAAUGAUGGCCAGGCUGUCUCCACCCGAGACUCAGUGAAAUUGAACUCGCUGUGAAGAUGCAGUGUACCCGCGGCAAGACGGAAAGACCCCGUGAACCUUUACUAUAGCUUGACACUGAACAUUGAGCCUUGAUGUGUAGGAUAGGUGGGAGGCUUUGAAGCGUGGACGCCAGUCUGCGUGGAGCCAACCUUGAAAUACCACCCUUUAAUGUUUGAUGUUCUAACGUUGGCCCCUGACCGGGGUUGCGGACAGUGUCUGGUGGGUAGUUUGACUGGGGCGGUCUCCUCCCAAAGCGUAACGGAGGAGCACGAAGGUUAGCUAAUCCUGGUCGGACAUCAGGAGGUUAGUGCAAUGGCAUAAGCUAGCUUGACUGCGAGCGUGACGGCGCGAGCAGGUGCGAAAGCAGGUCAUAGUGAUCCGGUGGUUCUGAAUGGAAGGGCCAUCGCUCAACGGAUAAAAGGUACUCCGGGGAUAACAGGCUGAUACCGCCCAAGAGUUCAUAUCGACGGCGGUGUUUGGCACCUCGAUGUCGGCUCAUCACAUCCUGGGGCUGAAGUAGGUCCCAAGGGUAUGGCUGUUCGCCAUUUAAAGUGGUACGCGAGCUGGGUUUAGAACGUCGUGAGACAGUUCGGUCCCUAUCUGCCGUGGGCGCUGGAGAAUUGAGGGGGGCUGCUCCUAGUACGAGAGGACCGGAGUGGACGCAUCACUGGUGUUCGGGUUGUCAUGCCAAUGGCACUGCCCGGUAGCUAAAUGCGGAAGAGAUAAGUGCUGAAAGCAUCUAAGCACGAAACUUGCCCCGAGAUGAGUUCUCCCUGAGACUUUAAGUCUCCUGAAGGAACGUUGAAGACGACGACGUUGAUAGGCCGGGUGUGUAAGCGCAGCGAUGCGUUGAGCUAACCGGUACUAAUGAACCGUGAGGCUUAACCUU